Long non-coding RNA from Carassius gibelio (silver crucian carp), 716 nucleotides. RefSeq lists it as uncharacterized. The transcript has 3 exons. The record is from RefSeq and is a predicted model, not a curated record. Lineage: Eukaryota; Metazoa; Chordata; Actinopteri; Cypriniformes; Cyprinidae.
UUUUACUUUAGACUCUAAAGUUAAAAGUUUUUAUUAAGGCUAUUGUAAAGGCUUCUUAAAAAUGAUGUCGCUGAUGAGCCUCUGAUCGCUGUCAGAUUCUGUGAUAUGAAUGUCCGCUAAUGGGUUUAGAAUGAGCCCCGCUCGGCCCGUGUUCUGGCUUACUGUAAUAUUUCACCUGUAAUAAGACCGAAAUAAUAUAAUUAAAAUAAAGAAAUGAAUGAAUACAUGAUAACAUCUAAAUAAAUGUUGAUAGAUUUAGCGUUAUAGUUUUAAAAAUAUUAAUAAACAGCAAAUCAACACAGAAAGACCUAAAUAAUAAUAAUACAUAAUUAAUAAACAGCGCCGCCCCUCCCACUACGCGCAUCACGCGCUGUGCGUCAACCCCAAAGCGUCAAAAACUGAAGCGUGGUCAAGCGCCUCUAGCGUCACUGACAUGAGAUGUUUAUCGCUUUGAAAUCACGUUCAAGAAGUCUCAUUCAGCACACAUCGCGAUACUUUCCAUCAGUUUGCAAGAGCCGCAGGUUGGGUGAGUUAUACAGUCUAUGCUGAAAAGACGUAAAGUAAGCAGUCACCCCAGUGGUGUUUGUGGAGAGGUAUUCCUUCAGAAAUGGAGAAGACAGAAAGCUGCAGAGGCAGGAUUGUUUCCAGAUAACACUGUAGUUCUCCGUCAUGCACAAGGACUCACCUCUUUAACUCCCCCCCCCCCCCACCCACCC